This 128-nucleotide small RNA is filed under the name Cronobacter sakazakii ATCC BAA-894. RNAcentral describes it as "t44 RNA". The stretch from base 41 to 127 matches the Rfam family "t44 RNA". From Rfam's summary of the family: This family consists of a number of bacterial RNA genes of between 135 and 170 bases in length. The t44 gene is found between the map and rpsB genes in all species in the full alignment apart from Shigella flexneri. Lineage: Bacteria; Pseudomonadati; Pseudomonadota; Gammaproteobacteria; Enterobacterales; Enterobacteriaceae. The record is from RNAcentral.
CGGACUUCUGUACCAGAAUCCUGGCACAGAGGCGACUACUCUCACUUUGUGUAAUAACACACACGUAUCGGCACAUAUUCCGGGGUGCCCUUCGGGGUCGGUAAUAUGGGAUACGUGGAGGCAUAACC